This 941-nucleotide ribosomal RNA is filed under the name uncultured prokaryote. Its description in RNAcentral is "bacterial SSU rRNA". It matches the Rfam family "Bacterial small subunit ribosomal RNA", at positions 496 to 1438 of the family's 1533-position model. The record is from RNAcentral.
GCUAACUUCGUGCCAGCAGCCGCGGUAAUACGAAGGGACCUAGCGUAGUUCGGAAUUACUGGGCUUAAAGAGUUCGUAGGUGGUUAAAAAAGUUGGUGGUGAAAUCCCAGAGCUUAACUCUGGAACUGCCAUCAAAACUUUUUAGCUAGAGUAUGAUAGAGGAAAGCAGAAUUUCUAGUGUAGAGGUGAAAUUCGUAGAUAUUAGAAAGAAUACCGAUUGCGAAGGCAGCUUUCUGGAUCAUUACUGACACUGAGGAACGAAAGCAUGGGUAGCGAAGAGGAUUAGAUACCCUCGUAGUCCAUGCCGUAAACGAUGUGUGUUAGACGUUGGAAAUUUAUUUUCAGUGUCGCAGCGAAAGCGAUAAACACACCGCCUGGGGAGUACGACCGCAAGGUUAAAACUCAAAUGAAUUGACGGGGACCCGCACAAGUAGUGGAGCAUGUGGUUUAAUUCGAAGAUACGCGCAGAACCUUACCAACACUUGACAUGUUCGUCGCGACUCUAAGAGAUUAGAGUUUUCGGUUCGGCCGGACGAAACACAGGUGCUGCAUGGCUGUCGUCAGCUCGUGUCGUGAGAUGUUGGGUUAAGUCCCGCAACGAGCGCAACCCUUACUUUUAGUUGCCAUCAUUUAGUUGGGCACUCUGAAAGAACUGCCAGUGAUAAGCUGGAGGAAGGUGGGGAUGACGUCAAGUCCUCAUGGCCCUUAUGUGUUGGGCUACACACGUGCUACAAUGGUAUCUACAACAGGAAGCAAAAUGGCAACAUUAAGCAAAUCCCAAAAAGAUACCUCAGUUCGGAUUGCACUCUGCAACUCGAGUGCAUGAAGCUGGAAUUACUAGUAAUCGUGGAUCAGCGUGCCACGGUGAAUACGUUCCCGGGUCUUGUACACACCGCCCGUCACACCAUGGGAGUUGGUUCUACCUUAAGGCAAGGUUCAAA